GACGAACGCUGGCGGCGUGCUUAACACAUGCAAGUCGAACGGAAAGGCCCUGCUUUUGUGGGGUGCUCGAGAGGCGAACGGGUGAGUAACACGUGAGUAACCUGCCCUUGACUUUGGGAUAACUUCAGGAAACUGGGGCUAAUACCGGAUAGGAGCUCCUGCUGCAUGGUGGGGGUUGGAAAGUUUCGGCGGUUGGGGAUGGACUCGCGGCUUAUCAGCUUGUUGGUGGGGUAGUGGCUUACCAAGGCUUUGACGGGUAGCCGGCCUGAGAGGGUGACCGGCCACAUUGGGACUGAGAUACGGCCCAGACUCCUACGGGAGGCAGCAGUGGGGAAUAUUGCACAAUGGGCGGAAGCCUGAUGCAGCAACGCCGCGUGCGGGAUGACGGCCUUCGGGUUGUAAACCGCUUUCGACUGUGACGAAGCGUGAGUGACGGUAAUGGGUAAAGAAGCACCGGCUAACUACGUG
This 468-nucleotide ribosomal RNA is filed under the name uncultured bacterium. RNAcentral's name for it is "partial 16S ribosomal RNA". It matches the Rfam family "Bacterial small subunit ribosomal RNA", at positions 28 to 507 of the family's 1533-position model. The record is from RNAcentral.